GAUGAACGCUAGCGGCAGGCCUAACACAUGCAAGUCGAGGGAGAGGUUAUCUUCGGGUAACCAAAACCGGCGCACGGGUGCGUAACGCGUAUACAAUCUGCCUUUCACAUAGGGAUAGCCCGAAGAAAUUUGGAUUAAUACCUAAUGGUAUAUAAGAGCGGCAUCGUUUUUAUAUUAAAGCUACGGUGGUGAAAGAUGAGUAUGCGUUCUAUUAGCUAGUUGGAGAGGUAACGGCUCCCCAAGGCGACGAUAGAUAGGGGUUCUGAGAGGGAUGUCCCCCACACUGGUACUGAGAUACGGACCAGACUCCUACGGGAGGCAGCAGUGAGGAAUAUUGGACAAUGGUCGGAAGACUGAUCCAGCCAUGCCGCGUGCAGGAUGAAGGUCCUAUGGAUUGUAAACUGCUUUUGUAAGGGAAGAAUAAGGAGUACGUGUACUUUGAUGACGGUACCUUACGAAUAAGCAUCGGCUAACUCCGUGCCAGCAGCCGCGGUAAUACGGUGGAUGCGAGCGUUAUCCGGAAUCAUUGGGUUUAAAGGGUCCGUAGGCGGGCUGAUAAGUCAGAGGUGAAGGCGCUUAGCUCAACUAAGCAACUGCCUUUGAAACUGUCAGUCUUGAAUGAUUGUGAAGUAGUUGGAAUGUGUAGUGUAGCGGUGAAAUGCUUAGAUAUUACACAGAACAUCGAUAGCGAAGGCAUAUUACUAACAAUUUAUUGACGCUGAUGGACGAAAGCGUGGGGAGCGAACAGG
Molecule: ribosomal RNA, 749 nt
Filed under: uncultured Capnocytophaga sp.
Lineage: Bacteria; Pseudomonadati; Bacteroidota; Flavobacteriia; Flavobacteriales; Flavobacteriaceae
Description: bacterial SSU rRNA
Rfam family: Bacterial small subunit ribosomal RNA
Source: RNAcentral